UGGGGAAUUUUGGACAAUGGGCGAAAGCCUGAUCCAGCAAUGCCGCGUGUGUGAAGAAGGCCUUCGGGUUGUAAAGCACUUUUGUCCGGAAAGAAAUCCUUGGCUCUAAUACAGUCGGGGGAUGACGGUACCGGAAGAAUAAGCACCGGCUAACUACGUGCCAGCGGCCGCGGUAAUACGUAGGGUGCAAGCGUUAAUCGGAAUUACUGGGCGUAAAGCGUGCGCAGGCGGUUUGCUAAGACCGAUGUGAAAUCCCCGGGCUCAACCUGGGAACUGCAUUGGUGACUGGCAGGCUAGAGUAUGGCAGAGGGGGGUAGAAUUCCACGUGUAGCAGUGAAAUGCGUAGAGAUGUGGAGGAAUACCGAUGGCGAAGGCAGCCCCCUGGGCCAAAUACUGACGCUCAUGCACGAAAGCGUGGGGAGCAAACAGGAUUAGAUACCCUGGUAGUCCACGCCCUAAACGAUGUCAACUAGUUGUUGGGGAUUCAUUUCCUUAGUAACGUAGCUAACGCGUGAAGUUGACCGCCUGGGGAGUACGGUCGCAAGAUUAAAACUCAAAUGAAUUGACGGGGUCAUAGCUGUUUCCU
Molecule: ribosomal RNA, 586 nt
Filed under: uncultured bacterium
Lineage: Bacteria
Description: partial 16S ribosomal RNA
Rfam family: Bacterial small subunit ribosomal RNA
Source: RNAcentral